UACGUAGGUCCCGAGCGUUGUCCGGAUUUAUUGGGCAUAAAGGGAGCGUAGGCGGACUUUUAAGUGAGAUGUGAAAUACUCGGGCUCAACUUGAGUGCUGCAUUUCAAACUGGAAGUCUAGAGUGCAGGAGAGGAGAAUGGAAUUCCUAGUGUAGCGGUGAAAUGCGUAGAGAUUGGGAAGAACACCAGUGGCGAAGGCGAUUCUCUGGACUGUAACUGACGCUGAGGCUCGAAAGCGUGGGGGGCAAACGGG
This 253-nucleotide ribosomal RNA is filed under the name uncultured bacterium. RNAcentral describes it as "partial 16S ribosomal RNA". It matches the Rfam family "Bacterial small subunit ribosomal RNA", at positions 524 to 776 of the family's 1533-position model. The record is from RNAcentral.